CAUGCAUGUCUUAGAAGUAUAAUAGGAGGCGAUCCAUAAAUCUGCGAACGGCUCCGUAUAUCUGUUAUCACCCACGGCCACUAAAAAGAUCUCGGAUACCCACGGUAAUUCUGAGGCUAAUACGUAUACGUAGCUUGGGCCUCCAGGACAGGGCGCCCUCCGCAAGGGGGGCGCCUGGGCUAGUCGCUUGUUGCCGGGGGGUCCCGCAAGGGGUCCGCUGUCAUGAUGGCAGGCUAGUGCACCACACUGCGGGGGCGAUAUGUCCCGUAGGGUGCGCCAAGGGAGCCAGCCCUAUUAACUAGGUGUCCGGGUAAGGCCCGGCCGCGGUGAUAACGGGUACAGAGGAUCAGGGUUCGGUCCUGGAGAGGAAGCCUGAGAGAUCGCUUCUACUUCUAAGGAAGGCAGCAGGCGCGCAAUGUUCCCAAUGGGGAUACCCUGAGGACGUGAGGGGAUAUAGCAAUGCCCCGCCCAUAAAGCGGGGCAAUUGCAAUGGGGGUCCACUAAACCCUCCACCGAGUAACAAUUGGAG
Molecule: ribosomal RNA, 529 nt
Filed under: Trichia varia
Lineage: Eukaryota; Evosea; Eumycetozoa; Trichiida; Trichiidae
Description: SSU rRNA
Rfam family: Eukaryotic small subunit ribosomal RNA
Source: RNAcentral